GGUUAAGCGACUAAGCGUACACGGUGGAUGCCCUGGCAGUCAGAGGCGAUGAAGGACGUGCUAAUCUGCGAAAAGCGUCGGUAAGGUGAUAUGAACCGUUAUAACCGGCGAUGUCCGAAUGGGGAAACCCAGUGCAAUUCGUUGCACUAUCGUUAACUGAAUACAUAGGUUAACGAGGCGAACCGGGGGAACUGAAACAUCUAAGUACCCCGAGGAAAAGAAAUCAACCGAGAUUCCCCCAGUAGCGGCGAGCGAACGGGGAGCAGCCCGGAGUCUGAAUCAGCUUGUGUGUUAGUGGAAGCGUCUGGAAAGUCGCAGGGUACAGGGUGAUACUCCCGUACACUAAAACACACAGGCUGUGAACUCGAAGAGUAGGGCGGGACACGUGGUAUCCUGUCUGAAUAUGGGGGGACCAUCCUCCAAGGCUAAAUACUCCUGACUGACCGAUAGUGAACCAGUACCGUGAGGGAAAGGCGAAAAGAACCCCGGCGAGGGGAGUGAAAAAGAACCUGAAACCGUGUACGUACAAGCAGUAGGAGCCCCACCACCAAAGCGUUUCGCUUUGCGUGGUGCGCAAAAUGCGUAACGACAGCAUGAUGGACGGUUAACGGAGCGUCAGCGACGUUCAACCUCAAAAAUCAGGCAGUGGAGCGUUUUGGGGUGGGGUGACUGCGUACCUUUUGUAUAAUGGGUCAGCGACUUAUAUUCUGUAGCAAGGUUAACCGAAUAGGGGAGCCGCAGGGAAACCGAGUCUUAACUGGGCGUUAAGUUGCAGGGUAUAGACCCGAAACCCGGUGAUCUAGCCAUGGGCAGGUUGAAGGUUGGGUAACACUAACUGGAGGACCGAACCGACUAAUGUUGAAAAAUUAGCGGAUGACUUGUGGCUGGGGGUGAAAGGCCAAUCAAACCGGGAGAUAGCUGGUUCUCCCCGAAAGCUAUUUAGGUAGCGCCUCGUGAACUCAUCUUCGGGGGUAGAGCACUGUUUCGGCUAGGGGGUCAUCCCGACUUACCAACCCGAUGCAAACUACGAAUACCGAAGAAUGUUAUCACGGGAGACACACGGCGGGUGCUAACGUCCGUCGUGAAGAGGGAAACAACCCAGACCGCCAGCUAAGGUCCCAAAGUCAUGGUUAAGUGGGAAACGAUGUGGGAAGGCCCAGACAGCCAGGAUGUUGGCUUAGAAGCAGCCAUCAUUUAAAGAAAGCGUAAUAGCUCACUGGUCGAGUCGGCCUGCGCGGAAGAUGUAACGGGGCUAAACCAUGCACCGAAGCUGCGGCAGCGACACUAUGUGUUGUUGGGUAGGGGAGCGUUCUGUAAGCCGUUGAAGGUGGCCUGUGAGGGUUGCUGGAGGUAUCAGAAGUGCGAAUGCUGACAUAAGUAACGAUAAUGCGGGUGAAAAACCCGCACGCCGGAAGACCAAGGGUUCCUGUCCAACGUUAAUCGGGGCAGGGUGAGUCGACCCCUAAGGCGAGGCCGAAAGGCGUAGUCGAUGGGAAACAGGUUAAUAUUCCUGUACUUGGUGUUACUGCGAAGGGGGGACGGAGAAGGCUAUGUUGGCCGGGCGACGGUUGUCCCGGUUUAAGCAUGUAGGCGGAUGUUCCAGGUAAAUCCGGAACGUUACUAACGCUGAGGUGUGAUGACGAGGCACUACGGUGCUGAAGUGACAAAUGCCCUGCUUCCAGGAAAAGCCUCUAAGCAUCAGGUAACAUCAAAUCGUACCCCAAACCGACACAGGUGGUCAGGUAGAGAAUACCAAGGCGCUUGAGAGAACUCGGGUGAAGGAACUAGGCAAAAUGGUGCCGUAACUUCGGGAGAAGGCACGCUGAUGGUAAGUGAAGUGACUUGCUCAUGGAGCUGAAAUCAGUCGAAGAUACCAGCUGGCUGCAACUGUUUAUUAAAAACACAGCACUGUGCAAACACGAAAGUGGACGUAUACGGUGUGACGCCUGCCCGGUGCCGGAAGGUUAAUUGAUGGGGUUAUCCUCACGGAGAAGCUCUUGAUCGAAGCCCCGGUAAACGGCGGCCGUAACUAUAACGGUCCUAAGGUAGCGAAAUUCCUUGUCGGGUAAGUUCCGACCUGCACGAAUGGCGUAAUGAUGGCCAGGCUGUCUCCACCCGAGACUCAGUGAAAUUGAACUCGCUGUGAAGAUGCAGUGUACCCGCGGCAAGACGGAAAGACCCCGUGAACCUUUACUAUAGCUUGACACUGAACACUGGUCCUUGAUGUGUAGGAUAGGUGGGAGGCUUUGAAGUGUGGACGCCAGUCUGCAUGGAGCCAUCCUUGAAAUACCACCCUUUAAUGGCUGGUGUUCUAACGUGGGCCCGUGAUCCGGGUUGCGGACAGUGUCUGGUGGGUAGUUUGACUGGGGCGGUCUCCUCCUAAAGAGUAACGGAGGAGCACGAAGGUCAGCUAAUCCUGGUCGGACAUCAGGAGGUUAGUGCAAUGGCAUAAGCUGGCUUGACUGCGAGCGUGACGGCGCGAGCAGGUGCGAAAGCAGGUCAUAGUGAUCCGGUGGUUCUGAAUGGAAGGGCCAUCGCUCAACGGAUAAAAGGUACUCCGGGGAUAACAGGCUGAUACCGCCCAAGAGUUCAUAUCGACGGCGGUGUUUGGCACCUCGAUGUCGGCUCAUCACAUCCUGGGGCUGAAGUAGGUCCCAAGGGUAUGGCUGUUCGCCAUUUAAAGUGGUACGCGAGCUGGGUUUAGAACGUCGUGAGACAGUUCGGUCCCUAUCUGCCGUGGGCGCUGGAGAAUUGAGGGGGGCUGCUCCUAGUACGAGAGGACCGGAGUGGACGCAUCACUGGUGUUCGGGUUGUCAUGCCAAUGGCAUUGCCCGGUAGCUAAAUGCGGAAGAGAUAAGUGCUGAAAGCAUCUAAGCACGAAACUUGCCCCGAGAUGAGUUCUCCCUGACUCCUUGAGAGUCCUGAAGGAACGUUGAAGACGACGACGUUGAUAGGCCGGGUGUGUAAGCGCAGCGAUGCGUUGAGCUAACCGGUACUAAUGAACCGUGAGGCUUAACCUU
Molecule: ribosomal RNA, 3020 nt
Filed under: Klebsiella oxytoca
Lineage: Bacteria; Pseudomonadati; Pseudomonadota; Gammaproteobacteria; Enterobacterales; Enterobacteriaceae
Description: 23S ribosomal RNA
Rfam family: Bacterial large subunit ribosomal RNA
Source: RNAcentral